GCAGAGUCCAACACGACUGAGCAACUAACACAUCCACUUUUUUGCAACCUACAAAAGUGCUCCUGCAGGAGCUCUGGGAUCCAGGUGUGAGGCUGUAAAAGCUCAGUGCAAUCCUAGAUGGAGGAGAGGAUUUUGAGAGGGAAAGCUCGUACCUGGCAAAGGAGCUGCUGACGAGGGUCCCAGCUACAGAGCCAGAAGCAGCUCUGUACCCCUGAGAACUCAGCCUCAGCCCCAUAUGGCUUGGUCCUGGCAUGGCACCAUAUGCCAAGGGAGCUGGAGCCAGACCCAGAGUUAGGCCCGCCCACAGCUCAGGUGUCAGGCAUACAGACCCGGGUCCUGCCUGUGGGCCCUGAAGCACCCGUGAACUGGCUCCAGCCCCUCUUGGCUGUGGUCUGGGAACCCCUGGAGGAGAUCUUCCCCAUCCAGGAACUGAAUCCGUGUCUUCUUCACUGUGGGCAGAUGCUUCACCGCCAAGCCUGUGGAUACAGGGAGAAUCUGAGAGGGGCUGAACGGAGGGACGAGACACUGACCUCCCAGAAUCCUUCACUCUGGAAUCCAUCUUGGCUGAGUGAUGGUCACACCACCAGCAAGGACCCUGAGUCAGACCAUCUGUGGGCCAAGCAGGAAGACCGGCCAGAGACAACCCGGACAGGAACCUCACAUACCCUGCUUGCUCUCCGUCGGGCGCCCCUUCCCAAUAAAGGCUCUUGCUUCAUCAGCGCGUGUGUCUUCUCAGACAAUUCAUCACCAAGAGUUAAAUGAGAGCCCACUCACGGGACCUGGAAGGGGCCCGUCCUUCCUGCAAUGCUCAGCCUGAGCCUGGGCUGCAAGGGAGGCUGGGAGAGUGCGUGUCUGGCACUUGGUCUUGUGAGCUGUCCCUACGCCCUCCUCACACCAAGCAGCUGUGGGCUCCUUGAGUGGAAAGCAGAAGUAGAAAACCAAUGAGAUUGUGGAAAUUUCUAAACGAUCUAUCAUUUGGCUUUAGUUUUCUUCCGUUCUCUCAGAUGCCAAUCUUUGCUCCCCAUCCUCUCUUCUCACUUGAGAUCAAAUUAAGCUUUCAAAAGCUAGUCAUUUUUAAUGGGCUGAUUGAGUGACUUCAUUGACUUGAAAGAACUUUCUGCCAACUGCCUUUAAUUGCUUUUUUUCCCCUUUAAAUCAAAGGUGCUUAUACUCAGUUCUGGAUCCGCUCCAAAUUAAGUGAUUAUAUGUUGUUACCUCCACACUCUCUCUAAUUUCUUCAAAGCAAAUGGACUAUUCACAUC
Molecule: long non-coding RNA, 1262 nt
Organism: Bos taurus (domestic cattle)
Lineage: Eukaryota; Metazoa; Chordata; Mammalia; Artiodactyla; Bovidae
Source: Ensembl